RNAcentral lists this ribosomal RNA (744 nucleotides) under uncultured bacterium. RNAcentral describes it as "bacterial SSU rRNA". It matches the Rfam family "Bacterial small subunit ribosomal RNA", at positions 8 to 796 of the family's 1533-position model. The record is from RNAcentral.
AGAGUUUGAUCCUGGCUCAGAGCGAACGCUGGCGGCAGGCUUAACACAUGCAAGUCGAGCGGGCACCUUCGGGUGUCAGCGGCAGACGGGUGAGUAACACGUGGGAACGUGCCCUUUGGUUCGGGACAACUCCGGGAAACUGGAGCUAAUACCGGAUACGCCCUUCGGGGGAAAGAUUUAUCGCCAAAGGAUCGGCCCGCGUCUGAUUAGCUAGUUGGUAGGGUAAUGGCCUACCAAGGCGACGAUCAGUAGCUGGUCUGAGAGGAUGAUCAGCCACACUGGGACUGAGACACGGCCCAGACUCCUACGGGAGGCAGCAGUGGGGAAUAUUGGACAAUGGGCGCAAGCCUGAUCCAGCCAUGCCGCGUGAGUGAUGAAGGCCUUAGGGUUGUAAAGCUCUUUUGUCCGGGAAGAUAAUGACUGUACCGGAAGAAUAAGCCCCGGCUAACUUCGUGCCAGCAGCCGCGGUAAUACGAAGGGGGCUAGCGUUGCUCGGAAUCACUGGGCGUAAAGGGCGCGUAGGCGGAUACUUAAGUCAGGGGUGAAAGCCUGAGGCUCAACCUCAGAAUUGCCUUUGAUACUGAGUAUCUCGAGACCGGAAGAGGUUAGUGGAACUGCGAGUGUAGAGGUGAAAUUCGUAGAUAUUCGCAAGAACACCAGUGGCGAAGGCGGCUAACUGGUCCGGUUCUGACGCUGAGGCGCGAAAGCGUGGGGAGCAAACAGGAUUAGAUACCCUAGUAGUCC